CUAACGAAUUUAAUCAGACGUCAGCAAAAUAUAACAGAAGUAUUUAAAAUUUUUAAUCAAAUCUAUAAGCUGGUGGUUUUUGUUCAUUUCUCAUUUGCAAGCAUUACCUUGGGAGUUGCUUUGGUUAAUCUUCGAUUGAUUCCUGGUUUGGCUAAAAUAAUUUAUUUAAUGUACGCAGUUGGGGCAUUAAAUCAGCUUUUCAUGUAUUGUUAUGGUGCUGAGAGUGUCAACAAAAAUUGUUUAAAACUAUCUGAGGUUUUAUACUUUUGUGAUUGGUAUAAUUGCAACAAGAAAGUAAAGCUUUUGGUUUUAUUUGUUUUGUUUAAAUCACAAGAAGGAAGUUCAUUUCUGGCGCCAUUUUUCUCGCCAUCUUUAUUACUCUUUUCUUCGAUUGUUCAGACGUCUGGAUCUUAUUUUUCAAUUCUGCAAGCAGUUAUGUAAAUUUAAAAAUUGUUUCAUUUUAUACUCGUACAAAUAAACAAAUUAUUAUAAUCUGUUACAAAAAAAAAUACAUAUUCAGUAGGGUGGGUCAAAAAAAUCGAAAUUCUUUUUUUUGAUUUGGUACUCCGAAAAAUCGAUUGCUAGACACCUCUAGAAUAUACACACCAAAUAUGAGCUCUUAAUAUUAAUGGUAAGGUCCUCCGCUUUUAAAUUUUCCAUGUUUGCAUCAAGUUUCUACAAAAAAAAAUUAUUUUUUUUAUAAAUCGACUUUUUUGCAAAUUUCUUUGCUUAUUCUUGUAGGAAAUUGAACGCUCUACAAAAAAGGUUAAAUACACUUUUUUGAAUUAUCUAACCGUUUAGUAGAUAUUUGAGGUCCAAAAAUCGAGAAAAUCUUUAAAAAUUCGUUUUUUGUUCUUAAUUUUGUAACAAAUUGAAAAAUUAUAAUAAUCAAACACGCAUGACAUAUUCUUGUAGGAAACAGAUUGCUCCACAAAAAAGGUUUUAAUAAUUUUUUUCAAUAAUCUUACCAUUCUAAAGAUA
Episyrphus balteatus (marmalade hoverfly) is the source of this 981-nucleotide long non-coding RNA. RefSeq lists it as uncharacterized. The record is from RefSeq and is a predicted model, not a curated record. The transcript has 4 exons. NCBI's taxonomy places the organism in Eukaryota, Metazoa, Arthropoda, Insecta, Diptera, Syrphidae.